AGAAUCAACGCUGGCGGCGUGCCUAACACAUGCAAGUCGAACGAGAAAGUGGAGCAAUCCAUGAGUAAAGUGGCGACCGGGUGAGUAACACGUGACUAACCUACCUUCGAGUGGGGGAUAACCUACGGGAAAACCGAGGCUAAUACCGCAUAACAUCGCAAGAUCAAAGCAGCAAUGCGCUGGAAGAGGGGGUCGCGGCUGAUUAGCUAGUUGGCGGGUAACGGCCCACAAGGCGAAGAUCGGUA
This 245-nucleotide ribosomal RNA is filed under the name uncultured bacterium. RNAcentral's name for it is "partial small subunit ribosomal RNA". It matches the Rfam family "Bacterial small subunit ribosomal RNA", at positions 26 to 285 of the family's 1533-position model. The record is from RNAcentral.